Molecule: ribosomal RNA, 466 nt
Filed under: uncultured bacterium
Lineage: Bacteria
Description: partial 16S ribosomal RNA
Rfam family: Bacterial small subunit ribosomal RNA
Source: RNAcentral
AUGAACGCUGGCGGCGUGCUUAACACCUGCAAGUCGAACGGAAAGGCCCAAGCUUGCUUGGGUACUCGAGUGGCGAACGGGUGAGUAACACGUGGGUGAUCUGCCCUGCACUUCGGGAUAAGCCUGGGAAACUGGGUCUAAUACUGGAUAGGACCACUUCUUGGAUGUUGUGGUGGAAAGUUUUUUCGGUGUGGGAUGAGCUCGCGGCCUAUCAGCUUGUUGGUGGGGUAAUGGCCUACCAAGGCGUCGACGGGUAGCCGGCCUGAGAGGGUGUACGGCCACAUUGGGACUGAGAUACGGCCCAGACUCCUACGGGAGGCAGCAGUGGGGAAUAUUGCACAAUGGGCGCAAGCCUGAUGCAGCGACGCCGCGUGGGGGAUGACGGCCUUCGGGUUGUAAACUCCUUUCGCUAGGGACGAAGCGUUUUGUGACGGUACCUGGAGAAGAAGCACCGGCUAACUACGUG